Molecule: ribosomal RNA, 426 nt
Filed under: uncultured bacterium
Lineage: Bacteria
Description: bacterial SSU rRNA
Rfam family: Bacterial small subunit ribosomal RNA
Source: RNAcentral
GGGGAAUCUUGCGCAAUGGGCGAAAGCCUGACGCAGCAACGCCGCGUGAGUGAUGAAGGUCUUUGGAUCGUAAAGCUCUUUCGGCUGGGAAGAACCGCCCGGUGGCUAAUAUCCAUCGGGUCUGACGGUACCAGCAGAAGAAGCACCGGCUAACUCUGUGCCAGCAGCCGCGGUAAUACAGAGGGUGCAAGCGUUGUUCGGAAUCAUUGGGCGUAAAGAGAGUGUAGGCGGGAUCGCAAGUCGGAUGUGAAAGCCCUCGGCUCAACCGGGGAAGUGCAUUCGAAACUGCGGUUCUUGAGUGUCGGAGAGGGUGGCGGAAUUCCCGGUGUAGAGGUGAAAUUCGUAGAUAUCGGGAGGAACACCAGUGGCGAAGGCGGUCACCUGGACGAACACUGACGCUGAGACUCGAAAGCGUGGGGAGCAAAC